This 467-nucleotide ribosomal RNA is filed under the name uncultured bacterium. Its description in RNAcentral is "partial 16S ribosomal RNA". It matches the Rfam family "Bacterial small subunit ribosomal RNA", at positions 28 to 506 of the family's 1533-position model. The record is from RNAcentral.
GACGAACGCUGGCGGCGUGCUUAACACAUGCAAGUCGAACGGAAAGGCCCUGCUUUUGUGGGGUGCUCGAGUGGCGAACGGGUGAGUAACACGUGAGUAACCUGCCCUUGACUUUGGGAUAACUUCAGGAAACUGGGGCUAAUACCGGAUAGGAGCUCCUGCUGCAUGGUGGGGGUUGGAAAGUUUCGGCGGUUGGGGAUGGACUCGCGGCUUAUCAGCUUGUUGGUGGGGUAGUGGCUUACCAAGGCUUUGACGGGUAGCCGGCCUGAGAGGGUGACCGGCAAAAUGGGGACUGAGAUACGGCCCAGACUCCUACGGGAGGCAGAAGGGGGGAAUAUGGAACAAGGGGCGGAGGCCGGAUGCAGCAACGCGGCGUGCGGGAUGACGGCCUUCGGGUUGUAAACCGCUUUCGCCUGUGACGAAGCGUGAGUGACGGUAAUGGGUAAAGAAGCACCGGCUAACUACGG